GUGCUUGCUUUAACAGCACAUAUACUAAAACUGGACUAACUCAGAAAGUUAACAUGGCCCCUACUAUGCACAAGGAUGGCAUGCAGAUUCCCAUCACCCCCACCCCCAUCACUCUUUUU
RNAcentral lists this small nuclear RNA (119 nucleotides) under Mus spretus (western wild mouse). RNAcentral's name for it is "predicted gene, 54880 (ENSMSPG00010011772.1)". Lineage: Eukaryota; Metazoa; Chordata; Mammalia; Rodentia; Muridae. The record is from RNAcentral.